CCAAGUGCAAGCGAUGGCAACCGGUUGAAAAGCUCCAAAAUGCAAAAAACAACAACAACACCAACAACAUCCAGACGGGGGCCAGACAGUGGAGACUUUGCUAAAAAUUUACUGGGGCCCCGAACUCAGCUGCGGGAUACAAUUCUUCGGAAAAGAGCAAAAACCUUCAGAGAUUGCUGCGUACGAGAUGCCCCCUUGUACAUACGAUACAUUCCCCAUGUACAUACACACUGGGUACUUGCUCCCAUUUACCUAACCAAGGGGAAGAAAUCCGCCGGACGAGCAUGCUCGCACAUUAUGUGGCCACCUUUUUGAAUAGACAACUUCCACUGCGUUGGCGUUGGAUUGUCCAAGCCCUGGGCACCAAGAGUACUCUACUUCAGUGGAGGAGGAGUGGUGACAAGAAAAUGGGGCCAUAAAUAAAAACUCGAAUUAUAUAACAACCAGAGAUUGAGUUCUAUAGCAAUGCCCAUGUAUUAUAUGGUUAUUCAAUCGCUACUGUAACAACAAAUUGUAAACAAAUUGUCAUUUGAUUUGGUUAUUACGAAGUAAUUCUGAAUUCUAAACAAUGUGUAUAUAAGCUGAAUAUUUAUCAAGUUGUACCAAGCAAAUGUGCAGCUAAAUCUUACAUACAUACAUAUGUAUUUGUCUUAAGAAAUUGGUCAAAUAUAAUAAAAGGUUACAGCCUCGUUUUCAAU
Molecule: long non-coding RNA, 698 nt
Filed under: Drosophila melanogaster (fruit fly)
Lineage: Eukaryota; Metazoa; Arthropoda; Insecta; Diptera; Drosophilidae
Description: antisense RNA:CR43481 (Dmel_CR43481)
Source: RNAcentral